RNAcentral lists this ribosomal RNA (415 nucleotides) under uncultured bacterium. RNAcentral describes it as "bacterial SSU rRNA". It matches the Rfam family "Bacterial small subunit ribosomal RNA", at positions 338 to 745 of the family's 1533-position model. The record is from RNAcentral.
CCUACGGGAGGCAGCAGUGGGGAAUUUUGGACAAUGGGCGCAAGCCUGAUCCAGCAAUGCCGCGUGAGUGAAGAAGGCCUUCGGGUUGUAAAGCUCUUUUGUCAGGGAAGAGACGGUGGGAGCUAAUAUCUCCUACUAAUGACGGUACCUGAAGAAUAAGCACCGGCUAACUACGUGCCAGCAGCCGCGGUAAUACGUAGGGUGCAAGCGUUAAUCGGAAUUACUGGGCGUAAAGCGUGCGCAGGCGGUUUUGUAAGUCUGUCGUGAAAGCCCCGGGCUCAACCUGGGAAUUGCGAUGGAGACUGCAAGGCUUGAAUCUGGCAGAGGGGGGUUAGAAUUCCACGUGUAGCAGUGAAAUGCGUAGAGAUGUGGAGGAACACCGAUGGCGAAGGCAGCCCCCUGGGUCAAGNUGACG